Rhododendron simsii is the source of this 73-nucleotide non-coding RNA. The record is from the annotation of a GenBank genome assembly. Lineage: Eukaryota; Viridiplantae; Streptophyta; Magnoliopsida; Ericales; Ericaceae.
CCCUUCCUAGUGAAGUUGGUUGUCUCACUCUUCCUCCACAGUGGAGGCGGAGGUUCGAGUCCCACGGAAGGCG